GCCUGGUUAGCAUAAAAGUAAUGUAGCUGUUUUGUAACCAGCUGAAGCAAGUGCGAUACUUGCAUCGGGCU
Molecule: transfer RNA, 71 nt
Filed under: Antarctomyces psychrotrophicus
Lineage: Eukaryota; Fungi; Ascomycota; Leotiomycetes; Thelebolales; Thelebolaceae
Description: tRNA-Thr
Rfam family: tRNA
About the family: Transfer RNA (tRNA) molecules are approximately 80 nucleotides in length. Their secondary structure includes four short double-helical elements and three loops (D, anti-codon, and T loops). Further hydrogen bonds mediate the characteristic L-shaped molecular structure. tRNAs have two regions of fundamental functional importance: the anti-codon, which is responsible for specific mRNA codon recognition, and the 3' end, to which the tRNAs corresponding amino acid is attached (by aminoacyl-tRNA synthetases). tRNAs cope with the degeneracy of the genetic code in two manners: having more than one tRNA (with a specific anti-codon) for a particular amino acid; and 'wobble' base-pairing, i.e. permitting non-standard base-pairing at the 3rd anti-codon position.
Source: RNAcentral